AUUGAACGCUGGCGGCAUGCUUUACACAUGCAAGUCGAACGGUAACAGGCCGCCAGGUGCUGACGAGUGGCGAACGGGCGAGUAAUGCAUCGGAACGCGCCCAGCCGUGGGGGAUAACUACUCGAAAGAGUAGCUAAUACCGCAUACGAUCUAAGGAUGAAAGCGGGGGACCGUAAGGCCUAGCGCGAUUGGAGCGGCCGAUGUCAGAUUAGGUAGAGGGUGGGGUAAAGGCUCACGAAGCCAACGAUCUGUAGCUGGUCUGAGAGGACGACCAGCCACACUGGGACUGGGCCGCCCCCCAGACUCCUACGGGAGGCAGCAGUCGGGAAUUUUGGACAGUGGUCGCAAACCUUAUCCAGCAAUGCCGCGUGCAGGAAGACGGCCUUCGGUUUGUAAACUGCUUUUGUACGUAACGAACCUGCUCUGGUUAGUACCCGGGGCUAAUGACGGUACCGUAAGAAUAAGCACCGGCUAACUACGUG
Molecule: ribosomal RNA, 482 nt
Filed under: uncultured bacterium
Lineage: Bacteria
Description: partial 16S ribosomal RNA
Rfam family: Bacterial small subunit ribosomal RNA
Source: RNAcentral